Molecule: long non-coding RNA, 597 nt
Filed under: Trifolium pratense (red clover)
Lineage: Eukaryota; Viridiplantae; Streptophyta; Magnoliopsida; Fabales; Fabaceae
Description: long non-coding RNA (TPRA_LNC009797)
Source: RNAcentral
GCAAACCAAGUACCUCUUUUUAACUACUACUGCAUAAUUAUGCAGACAAGUUACAAAUUUCAAAACGAACACUUCCACCAAACUCAACACAGGGAACCUAUGCAAUAAGAUUCCUAAGUACAACCUACGUACCCACCACAUCAGUAUAAUCAACCUUCACAUAACACACUAUCAGCCUUCAUACUCUGAACAACCGGCCUAGUAUAAUAAGAGCCAACAUGCCUCAACUGAAUCGAAGGCCGCAAACAAGAAGAAAACAGACUGCACAAAUAUGCAGCAGCAGCAAAAUCAACCGAAAAAAUAACCGAGCAACAUCUCGCAUUCUUGUCCAUUAACAACAAAUACAGUUAAUAUAAAUGCCUGUUUAGAAUACAAUUACUAAAUCAUUACUCCUUCCAAAAUAAAUCAUUCUUGUCCAUGGCUAUGUCAUACACUAUAUGUUCUGCACACCAAUUUGCUCAGGAUUAGGAAUAACCCUUUCACUUAAUUUCAUAAAUCAUAACAGCUUGAUAAUCAGGGUCCUAUAUGCUCCUACAGUGCUAUUGUAUAUGUAUAAUUGAUCCUAAAAUUAAACCAUCAAUCUCUUUCUAAUUCUAG